UGAGGAAUAUUGGUCAAUGGGCGGAAGCCUGAACCAGCCAUGCCGCGUGCAGGAAGACGGCCCUACGGGUUGUAAACUGCUUUUCCGGGGGAAGAAUAAUCCCGACGUGUCGGGAGAUGCCGGUACCCCGGGAAUAAGGAUCGGCUAACUCCGUGCCAGCAGCCGCGGUAAUACGGAGGAUCCGAGCGUUAUCCGGAUUUACUGGGUUUAAAGGGUGCGUAGGCGGGCGCUUAAGUCAGCGGUGAAAUGCGGGGGCUCAACCUUCGAACGGCCGUUGAUACUGGGCGCCUUGGAUUCGGUCGAGGCGGGCGGAAUGCGACAUGUAGCGGUGAAAUGCUUAGAUAUGUCGCAGAACGCCGAUUGCGAAGGCAGCUCGCCGGGCCGAUAUUGACGCUGAGGCACGAAAGCGUGGGGAUCGAACA
RNAcentral lists this ribosomal RNA (422 nucleotides) under uncultured prokaryote. Its description in RNAcentral is "bacterial SSU rRNA". It matches the Rfam family "Bacterial small subunit ribosomal RNA", at positions 355 to 774 of the family's 1533-position model. The record is from RNAcentral.